CCGCCGCCCUUGUCUAGUCGACCCGUUCCCAAGAUGGCGGCGCCCAGGGGAAGGAGGAACGGUAGCGCAGGAGCGAGCAUGUGGGGCGCUCUGCUGCUGGCGGCCGUGGCGCUGAGGUCGGUCGAGGCGGUGUCCGAGCCCACAACGGUGGCGUUUGACGUGCGGCCCGGCGGCGUCGUACACUCCUUCUCCCACAGCGCGGGCCCUGGGGACAGAUUUACCUGCACGUUCACCUACGCUUCUCAAGGAGGGACCAAUGAGGUGCCAUCGAGUCGGUUCCGACUCAUAGCGACCCUGUGCACAACAGAACGAAACACUGCCCGGCCCUGCGCCAUCCUCACAAUCGUUGUUAUGCUUGAGCUCAUUGUUGCAGCCACUGUGUCAGUCCACCUCGUUGAGGGUCUUCCUCUUCUACUGACCCUGUACUUUGCCAAGCAUGAUGUCCUUCUCCAGGGACUCAUCCCACCUGAUAAUAUGUCCAAAGUGUGUAAGACGUGGUCUCGCCAUCCUUGCCUCUAAGGAGCAUUCUGGCCUCACUUCGUCCAAGACAGAUUUGUUCGGUCUUCUGGCAGUCCAUGGUGUAUUCAAUAUUCUUCACCAACACCACAACUCAAAGGCGUCAACUCUUCUUCUGUCUUCCUUAUUCAUUGUCCAGCUUUCACAUGCAUAUGAUGCGAUUGAAAAUACCAUGGCUUGGGUCAGGCGCACCUUAGUCUUCAGGAUGACUGACAUCUUUGCUCUUCAACACUUUAAAGAGGUCCUUUGCAGCAGAUUUGCCCAAUGCAGUGCGUCUUUUGAUUUCUUGACUGCUGCUUCCACGGCUGUUGAUUGUGGAUCCAAGUAAAAUGAAAUCCUUGACAACUUCAAUUUUUUUCUCCGUUCAUCAUGAUGUUGCUCAUUGGUCCAACUGUGAGGAUUUUUGUUUUCUUUAUGUUGAGGUGUAAUGCAUACUGAAGGCUGUGGUCUUUGAUCUUCAGUAGUAAGCGCUUCAAGUCCUCUUCACUUUCAGCAAGGAAGUUUGUGUCAUCUGCGUAACGCAGGUUGUUAAUGAGUCUUCCUCCAAUCCUGAUGCCCCGUUCUUCUUCAUAUAGUCCAGCUUCUCGGAUUAUCUGCUCAGCAUACAGACUGAAUAGCAGUGGCAGAUGAGCCUGGGGACCAGCGAAGAUCAUCAGCAUUUCACCUGCACCAUCUGGAG
Loxodonta africana (African savanna elephant) is the source of this 1195-nucleotide RNA transcript. It is a transcript of the gene named myeloid derived growth factor, with no coding region annotated. Lineage: Eukaryota; Metazoa; Chordata; Mammalia; Proboscidea; Elephantidae. The record is from RefSeq and is a predicted model, not a curated record. The transcript has 4 exons.